Molecule: ribosomal RNA, 552 nt
Filed under: Triticum aestivum (bread wheat)
Lineage: Eukaryota; Viridiplantae; Streptophyta; Magnoliopsida; Poales; Poaceae
Description: partial small subunit ribosomal RNA
Source: RNAcentral
AUGGUACGUCCCCGACAGCCCGCUCUGGGAGCCCUACUUCCGACGCCGUCACGCCGAGCAGCUCAAGGUCACCAAUGGCAUCGUGCCCUCUGGCAGGCUCAACUCCAAUGGCCGGCGCCGGUGGUGGGGCGUGCCCGGUCGCACGUUGGAGGCGGUCCUCGAGUACAUCGAGGGCGGCAACACGCCUCGCCUCGAGUAACCCGCUCCCCCGUCCUUCUCACGUCGCCGUGGAAGCUCCUGGACGCCGAGGCGCAUGGAGCGGCCCGGACGUCCUCCUCCUCGUCCAGCCGCUCAUCGGGCUCUCCCUGCCUCCGCCCCGUCAAGCCGGAGCCCCAGGACACGCCUGUCAGCGCGCGCACCCGUAGCUCCGGCGUCCGCAUCGGCGACUCCGCCCCCUCCCCCCCCCCUUCCCCCCACACCGGCCGCUUCGUCCUCGUCGAGCCCAAGUCGGAGCCCGGCCUCCCCACGGAGUAUGAGGAGAUAGCCCGGCGCGGCUUCUCCGACGAGGACGCCCUGUGGUGGCGCGGGACGACUACCUCCGGACGGAGAUGA